GACGAACGCUGGCGGCGUGCUUAACACAUGCAAGUCGAACGGAAAGGCCCUGCUUUUGUGGGGUGCUCGAGUGGCGAACGGGUGAGUAACACGUGAGUAACCUGCCCUUGACUUUGGGAUAACUUCAGGAAACUGGGGCUAAUACCGGAUAGGAGCUCCUGCUGCAUGGUGGGGGUUGGAAAGUUUCGGCGGUUGGGGAUGGACUCGCGGCUUAUCAGCUUGUUGGUGGGGUAGUGGCUUACCAAGGCUUUGACGGGUAGCCGGCCUGAGAGGGUGACCGGCGACAUGAGGACUGAGAGACGGCCCAGACUCCUACGGGAGGCAGCAGUGGGGAAUAUUGCACAAUGGGCGGAAGCCUGAUGCAGCAACGCCGCGUGCGGGAUGACGGCCUUCGGGUGGUAAACCGCUUUCGCCUGUGACGAAGCGUGAGUGACGGUAAUGGGUAAAGAAGCACCGGCUAACUACGUG
RNAcentral lists this ribosomal RNA (468 nucleotides) under uncultured bacterium. Its description in RNAcentral is "partial 16S ribosomal RNA". It matches the Rfam family "Bacterial small subunit ribosomal RNA", at positions 28 to 507 of the family's 1533-position model. The record is from RNAcentral.